RNAcentral lists this long non-coding RNA (531 nucleotides) under Vitis vinifera (wine grape). RNAcentral's name for it is "long non-coding RNA (VVIN_LNC002542)". The record is from RNAcentral. Lineage: Eukaryota; Viridiplantae; Streptophyta; Magnoliopsida; Vitales; Vitaceae.
GGCUAUCAAAUAGCACUUGUUUGAGUAGUAAUCACUCCCCCCAACCGACAUAUUGCUAGUCCCUUAGCAAUAGAGGAGAGAAAAUUAAAAAUAAAUAGCAAACUAAUCUACAAUUUACAACAUCAUGCUGAAAGGAAAUAAUUCUCAAGUGGCAUGAUGAUCUAAUUCUCACAUGAAUCAUUGAAGAAAUACAAACCCAAAUCUCAACAAGAGUCAUAACAAACUAUGCUAAACACUGUCAAUCAAGGGAGUGCAUUAUGCAAACUGAAGUUUUAAAAUCAUUUCACUUUCUAAGAACUAAACUUCAAUCUUCCACAAAAAUCUAUGUGUAUUGGUUCUUUAGCUUCCGAGAAUAAAAUGCUACUAAUCUCACCCCCCAACCUAUCUCUUUUCAACACUUUAGCAAACUGACCAAAAUCAAUAAGAAAAGAACACACUUUCAUCUUUUUUUUUUUUUUUUUUUUUUUUUUUUUUUUUUUUUUUUUUUUUUUUUUUUUUUUUUUUUUUUUUUUUUUUUUUUUUUUAAAAGGG